Molecule: ribosomal RNA, 570 nt
Filed under: uncultured bacterium
Lineage: Bacteria
Description: partial 16S ribosomal RNA
Rfam family: Bacterial small subunit ribosomal RNA
Source: RNAcentral
UGGGGAAUUUUGGACAAUGGGCGAAAGCCUGAUCCAGCAAUGCCGCGUGUGUGAAGAAGGCCUUCGGGUUGUAAAGCACUUUUGUCCGGAAAGAAAUCCUUGGCUCUAAUACAGUCGGGGGAUGACGGUACCGGAAGAAUAAGCACCGGCUAACUACGUGCCAGCAGCCGCGGUAAUACGUAGGGUGCAAGCGUUAAUCGGAAUUACUGGGCGUAAAGCGUGCGCAGGCGGUUUGCUAAGACCGAUGUGAAAUCCCCGGGCUCAACCUGGGAACUGCAUUGGUGACUGGCAGGCUAGAGUAUGGCAGAGGGGGGUAGAAUUCCACGUGUAGCAGUGAAAUGCGUAGAGACGUGGAGGAAUACCGAUGGCGAAGGCAGCCCCCUGGGCCAAUACUGACGCUCAUGCACGAAAGCGUGGGGAGCAAACAGGAUUAGAUACCCUGGUAGUCCACGCCCUAAACGAUGUCAACUAGUUGUUGGGGAUUCAUUUCCUUAGUAACGUAGCUAACGCGUGAAGUUGACCGCCUGGGGAGUACGGUCGCAAGAUUAAAACUCAAAGGAAUUGACGGGG